Molecule: unclassified non-coding RNA, 20404 nt
Filed under: Megachile rotundata (alfalfa leafcutting bee)
Lineage: Eukaryota; Metazoa; Arthropoda; Insecta; Hymenoptera; Megachilidae
Description: microtubule-associated protein futsch-like, transcript variant X5
Source: RNAcentral
UGUUGACGACAUGAAAUCCAUGGGGGAUGAUUCGAUGCGUGUCAACGUGACGGACGAUGAGAGAGACAAUCGACAUUCCGGAGCACCAACCAUAACCGAGAUGAUCACGAAAGAAAAUUAUCAACGUACAAACGCUGCCAAUCUGAAACCAGAUAAUGUUGAUAUUAAUAGGCACCCUGUACAUGUCGGAAUUCCACAGUGGAGAAACUUCCUGGUUUCCUUUCUGGUGGAUGCACGAGGUGGUGCAAUGCGUGGCUGCAGACACAGUGGUGUGCGCGUAAUCGUUCCUCCUAGAAAAGCUGCAAUGCCAAUGCGUGUUACGUGCAGAUAUUUAAGGAGGGAUAAAUUGACUAAUCCACCACCUCUGAUGGAAGGAGAAGCUUUGGCCAGCCGUAUUCUUGAACUUGGACCCGUGGGUGCCAAAUUCUUGGGGCCCGUCAUCAUAGAAGUACCACACUUCGCUUCACUGCGAGGAAAAGAACGAGAAAUAGUAAUACUUCGAUCGGAUAAUGGAGAGACUUGGCGCGAACACACCUUGGAAGCCAGCGAGGAGGCUGUCCAGGAUGUGCUUAACGAGAGCUUUGAAGGAGAAGAAUUAAGCCAGCUCGAGGAUCUCCAAACUUCUCGGAUCGUAAGGAUACUCACUGCAGACUUUCCACAUUAUUUCGCAGUAGUGUCGCGUAUUAGACAAGAAGUUCAUGCAGUUGGUCCCGAAGGUGGUACAGUUUCUUCAUCCGCGGUUCCACAAGUUCAGGCCGUCUUUCCACCGGCAGCUCUCACUAAAAAGAUCAGAGUUGGUCUUCAGGCACAUCCAAUCCCAGCCGACCUGGUAGCCAAACUACUUGGUAACCGAGUAGCAGUAUCACCGAUCGUAACCGUGGAACCAAGACGAAGAAAAUUCCAUAAGCCGAUAACUUUAACCAUACCGGUGCCGCAGGCAGCCAACAAGGGGAUGAUCAAUCAAUAUUCUGGAGAUGCGCCAACGUUGAGACUCCUGUGUAGCAUAACUGGGGGUCAGUCUCGGGCAGUCUGGGAGGAUGUAACAGGUUCAACGCCGCUGACGUUCGUCAAAGAUUGCGUUUCCUUUACCACCACUGUAUCCGCUCGCUUCUGGUUAAUGGAUUGUCGGAAUAUCUCCGAAGCCACGAAAAUGGCUACGGAACUGUACACACACGCGACACAUGUACCGUUUAUGGCUAAAUUCGUAGUAUUUGCGAAACGAAUAGAUCCUCUGGAGGCAAGGUUACGUGUCUUCUGCAUGACUGAUGAUAAAGAGGAUAAGACUUUGGAGAACCAGGAACAUUUCACGGAAGUUGCUAAAAGUCGAGAUGUCGAGGUCUUGGAAGGCAAAACGCAGUACAUGGAAUUUUCGGGCAACCUCGUGCCAGUAUUGAAGAGCGGUGAGCAGCUGCAAUUACCGUUUAGAGCAUUCAAGGAGAAUAGAGUUCCGUUCACGGCGAGGAUAAAGGAUCCUGAUGCUGCGGACACCAUGGGUCGCAUCAUGUUCAUGAGCGAGCCGAAGGUUCCCAAGGGCGAAUUACCGCAGACACCCAUAUGCACGUUGCACAUUUUAUUGCCGGAGAAGAUCUCUCCCGAACCGGCGAUCUCCGAAGUGGAUUUACUGGAGCUGUCGAAGAACUACAGCUUCCUGCGCGAUGGUGGCAUAAGUCGUCCAGACGCGAUUCACAGAGCUACCAUACGACUGACAGACAUCGCGAAUUUGUUGGACAAGGACUGGGAGAAACUUGCAGAGGAAUUAAAUAUCCCACCGAAUGAGGUGUCGACGAUUAAACAAGAGUAUUCUAAUAAGCCGGCGCAGCAGGCGGCCGCCAUGCUUAAGAUCUGGCAGAGCAACGGGAACAAAGCCACUGGGAAUACUUUGGAGAAGGCGUUGAACAAAAUAGGGCGAGAGGACAUUGUAAAGAAAUGCAUAUUCAAUGUGGAAUUAGUAACUGAUGACGUAGAGAAAGCAGUAGCAAGAGUACGAUUAGAUCAGCCAGGAUUUGAUUCAUUGAAAGAAGAACUGGGUCCUUCAAGGGAUACUUCUCUUCGCCGUGACGCGACGAUGGAUCCGAAAAUGGAUCCUGAUUAUGAUGAAUUUAACAAAACUAAGGGAGCUGGAUCAAUUGAAGACCUAAAUAUUAGUGCCACUAAACGAGAUACACCGAAACAGCAUGUCACAAUCACAAACGGCACUGUAUUCAACGGAACCUCGACCCCCAUCAAAGAUAAAUACGCAAGCGACGAGAAAGAACUAAGGGACGUAAUGGCCGAUUUUCUUGAACACAAAUGCCACGUAACCGACACGAUGAGCAAAAAGUCACGCGACGAAUUAGACGACGAGGACAAAAAACGACAGAGGGUGAUCGCAGACGCCAACAGAAUAGUUUCUGGUGUAAUAGCAGACGCAGAGAAAGAGAAGGGGAAGUUAGCGAAGGAGGGGUGGUCGGUGGUUUGUGAUGAUGAUGCGCGGGACAGUAAAGAGGCAGGAGGUGCUGUAAUUCAGAGUUUUGUUAGGGAACAGUUCAGUGACAAAGAACAGAAGGAUAAGGGCAAAAAAGUGGACGAAGCGGUUGACGAGAGAAUACCGGUCGUAGAACCGAUGAUAGUUAAACAGCGUUAUGUUCGCGAUGGGAAGGGCGAUUCAGUUACGAUCAUUAAAUCCGAAACUACAGUUACAAUGGGCGAUAAACCGGGCCAGCCCGUGAUCACUCAAACUAUCAUAACGAAGGAGGCAGAUCAAACUGUCCCCAAAAUUGUAACCACCGUUUCCGACGGUAAAAGCGUUACGAGUAAGGAAAAAUUGUCGAAGGAGGGCAAGGAGAUCGACGAGAAGACGGUAGACGCUAAGAAAGACACAAAGACAGAAAAGGAUGAAGCUCACAAGGAGCCAAAAGGAAAAACUCACAUUCCAGACGAAACGAAACCUGACAUACAGGUAUCCGCUUACGAAAGCGUUUAUAAUGUUCAAUAUCCCUCAACGCAGCCCGAAGACAAGGAGGACGAGACAAAGAAGAAGGGCGGUAUCCUCUCUGGAAUUUUUAAGGGAACAAAAUUAAAGAAGAGUAAAUCAAAGGGUUCGAAGGAUACGUCCUUCGAUAGCGGCGAUGAGGACAAAGUAGUUUCACCUACAGAACAUUCGGUAGCCAGCGAGAAACCUGCAGAAAGUGCACCUGACGUAAAGUUAGCGACCAUGCAAUUUCUGGACGAGUCCAGACGCGUUGCUGCGGAAAUGCAGCCAAUGGAAAUGGACUCGAAGAAGAAAGACGAUGGCAAACCCAAGGAGUCGGAGGAUCGUGGUGUGACCAGCGAUACCAGCGAUCAGGAGAAAGAGAAAAGCGGCUUCUUCGGUAUAUUCAAGAGUCCGAAGUCAAAGGAGAAGAAGCUGAAGAAGUCCAAGGAAGCGUCGUUCGACAGCGGCGACGAAGAGCUUCGAGUCGCCACGGAGAAGUUCUUGGACGACACGAGAAAGAUUGCGGACGCCACUGUGUCUCCUGUGAAGGACAAGGAGCUUCACACGUUCACCUCGCACGUCCACUACGAGGAGGACACGCCGAAGGACAGAUUAAACGGACACUCUUACGAUAUCUCUGAGAUCCAAAAGAAGUCGGAGGCGAGAACUACUCCUCACAGGGAAAUGAAUGGAAAGUCCGAGGCUAAAAAAGCGAAGGAUGCUCCACGGAAAGAGGGAAGUCUGGAAAGGUCCGCGGAUUUGAAGCCAGACUCCGACAAACCGCGCGACGAAGAAGAAGAGGAGAGCAAGGACAAAGGUGGCGGAUUCUUCAGUAUGUUCAAGAGUCCGAAACUCAAGUCGAAGAAGCGAAGUGCGUCGAGGGAGAAGAGCUCUUCAAAAGAGACGUCCUUCGAUAGCGGAGACGAGGAGACACGACACGUGACCGCCGCCUUCUUGGACGACACCAAGAAAGUCGCAAGUAGCUUGCAUCACGAUGAACCGAAAGAAAAACCCGACGUCCCAAGUGACGCGAAGACUGACACAGAACACGCGGAAAAGAGCAGCGGAAUUCUCAGCAAGUUCAGAAGCCCGAAGCUGUCGAGAGAAUCACGAAGCAGAUCUCGAGAGAAGCAUACGCCAGAACCGGCACAGGACAGUUCGCUGCGUGAAACGACGGCGAAGUUCCUGGAGGACGCCAGAAACAUCGCUGGUUUAACGUUAGACACAAGCAAGGAGGAACCAAAAGAAGCUAAAGAAUCCGACGUGAAGAAGGCUGUGGACGCAGAAGCGGAGGAGGCGAAGAGCAAGAUCUCGAAAGAAGGCAAGAAAGCAAAGGAAAAGGGCGGAGGAUUCCUCUCUGGUCUGUUCAAGGGUGUAAAACACUCUGCGGACGAAGUGUCUGAAGACAUCAAGGACACCGUUGACGAAGCGAAGAAGGACGCUGCUCAGGAGAAAGCGCGUGUUCGAGAUGCAAUAUCCGAGAAACUGGACGACAUCGACGCAGCGAAGGACAAAGCUGCUGCAGAAUUGAAGGCUGCGAAGGACAAAACUGUGACCGUUAUAAAAGACACCGCAGAUGCUGCGAGUACGAAAGUGUCGAAAGGUGUAGAAAAAGCGGCGGACACCGGUAAGGCAGUUAAAGACAAAAUGGCCGACGAGGCGAAGCAGGCUAAGGAGGCCACAGACGCUGCCGCUCGAGAAGUAGUCGAUAGAGCAAAGGCAGCGAAAGACAAGGCAGCGGCCGACAUCAAAGAUGCCAAGGAGAAAGUCACGACGGCUGUGAAAGACACUAAGGAUCAAGCAAAGGAGAAAAUGACCGAGGGUGCACAGAAGGUGACCCAAGCCAGCAAAGAUGUUACGGGCAAAGUGGUCGAUGGACUAAAGACUGCGGAGGCGAAAGUAGAAACAGCAGCGAAAGACGUGGCUGACGGUGCUAAAACAGCGAAGGACAAAGUGGUUACGGAGGUUAAAGAAGACACGGAGGCUGUGAAGCAGAAAGUGUCCUCCGGAGUGGACGCCGUUGUGGAUGGCGCGGCCGCAGCGAAGGAUAAGACUGCGAAGGAGGCUAAGAAAGCAAAGGAGAAAGCUGGAGGCUUCCUGUCGGGAUUGUUCAAAGGCGCGAAGCAUGCGGCAGACGAAGUUUCGGAAGAUAUGAAAGAGUUUGUGGACGAAGCGAAGAAGGACGCUGCCGAAGAGGAAGCUCGCGCUCGCGAAGCGGCGGCGAAGAAAUUAAAAGAGGCUGACACAGCGAAGGACAAAGCGGCUGCUGGCGUCAAAGAUGCGGUGGACAAAGCUGCAGGUGCGGUCAAGGACACCAAGGAUAAAGUUAGCGAGAAAGUAAUAGAUGGUGUCCACAAAGUAUCCGACGCUGGCAAAGAGACGGCCAAGAAAGUAGUGGUUGAAGUGAAACAUGUUGGUGAAAAAGCGGAUGAAGCAGCAAAGGAGGUAGCAGACGGCGCGAAAGCGGCGAAAGAUAAAACGGUUGACGGUGCAAAGGGUAUUAAGGAUAAAGUAUCUGAGAAAGUGACCGAAGGCGCACAGAAAGUGUCGGACACAGGCAAAGCUGUUGGUGAAAAGGUAGUCGAAGGUGUUAAGAAGGCAGAAGAUAAGGUGGAAGCAGCAGCCCACGGAGUGGCAGAUAGCGCAAAGACAGCGAAAGACAAAGCCGCCAAAGAAGUUAAGGAAGACGUCGAAAUUGUGAAGCAGAAAGUUUCUUCAGGAGUAGACACCGUGGUAGAUGGCGCUGCAGCUGCUAAAGACAAGGCUGCAAAGGAGGCUAAGAAAGUGAAGGAAAAGACCGGUGGCUUCCUCUCAGGCUGGUUCAAAGGAUCGAAACAUUCGACAGAGGAUGUAACGGAGGAUGUCAAAGACUUCCUCGAGGAAACGAGAAAGGAAGCGGCCGAAGAGGAAGCACGAGCCCGAGCAGCACUUGAUAGUAAAAUGAAGGACGCUGACGCAGCGAAAGGAAAGAUAGCCGCCGAUGUAAAAGACACCAAGGACAAAGUUGUUACUUCCGUCAUAGAUGCCAAGGACAAGGUUAAAGAAAAGGUCUCCGACGGUGUCCACAAAGUUUCAGACACUGGAAAAAGUGUGGCUGAAAAGGUGACAGACGGAGCGAAACACAUUGCAGAGAAAACAGACGAAGCAGCUCGAGAAGUGGCGGACGGAGCAAAGGCUGCAAAAGACAAGGCUGUUGAAGACGCGAGCAAAGCUAAAGACAAAGUAGCAACUGCUGCGAAGGAUACAAAGGAUAAAAUCGGCGAGAAAGUGUCAGAGGGCGCCCAGAAGGUGUCGGAUGCUGGCGCAGCUGUGGGAGGAGCAGUGUUGCAUGGAAUUAAGAAAGUUGAAAGCAAAGCAGAAGCAACAGCUCACGACGUAGCUGAAGGCACGAAAGCAGCGAAGGAUAAGGUAGCUAAAGAAAUUAAACAAGACACCGAAAUCGUGAAGGAAAAAGUAUCAUCUGGUGUGGAUGCGGUAGCUGAAGGAGCUGCGGCAGCGAAGGAUAAGACAGCGAAAGAAGCUAAAAAGGCCAAGGAAAAAGCUGGAGGUUUCCUUUCUGGACUGUUCAAGGGUGCAAAACACGCAGCUGACGACGUGUCAGACGAAGUUAAGGACUUCCUUGAUGAGACAAAGAAAGAAGCAGCUGAAGAAGAGGCACGAGCUCGUGCCGCGGCUGAACAGAAGCUGAAGGAUGCCGAUGCUGCAAAAGAUAAGGCAGUUGCUGGCAUCAAGGAUGCGAAGGAUAAAGUGGCGUCCACCGUGAAAGACGCGAAAGAUAAAGCCGGUGAGAAAGUUUCUACAGCUGCUCAGAAGGUGACAGACACUGGAAAAGCUGCGGCUGAAAAAGUGGCAGAGGGAGCACAUCAGUUAGGUGAGAAAGUAGAUCAAACAGUUACAACAGCAGCGGAGGGAGCAAAAGCAGCGAAAGAUAAAGCAGCUGAAGACGCUAAGGAGGUAAAAGACAAAAUCGCGACUGCUGCUAAAGACACCAAGGAGAAGGUCAGUGAGAAAGUAACUGAAGGAGCACAAAAAGUGUCAGACACUGGAAAGACGGUUGGAGGCAAAAUUCUGGAUGGAGUUAAAAAAGCUGAGGAGAAAGUUGAAGCCACAGCUCAUGGAAUUGCUGAUGGUGCGAAGUCUGCGAAGGACAAAGUAGGAAAGGAGAUUAAGCACGACACUGAAAUCGUCAAGGAGAAAGUAUCGUCUGCUGCCGACGCAGUCGUAGAUGGUACAGCAGCAGCUAAAGACAAAGCAGCAAAAGAAGCUAAGAAAGCUAAAGAAAAGACCGGUGGUUUUCUCUCUGGCUUGUUCAAGGGAGUAAAACAUGCUGCGGAUGAUGUAUCCGAGGAAGUCAAGGAAUUCGUUGAUGAAACAAAGAAGGAAGCUGCUGAUGAAGAAGCGAGAGCACGUGCUGCAGCUGCACAGAAGCUGAAGGAUGCUGAAGCAGCCAAAGACAAAGCAGUUGCUGAUGUAAAAGACGCAAAGGACAAAGCAGCAUCCGCUGUGAAGGAUGCUAAGGAUAAAGCCAGCGAAAAAGUUUCUACCGCUGCCCAGAAGGUAUCAGAUACCGGAAAGGCUGCGGCUGAAAAAGUAGCGGAUGAAGUGAAACAUGUUGGUGAUGCAGCAGAUAAAAAAGCACGUGAAAUAGCAGAUGCUGCUAAGGCUGCCAAAGACAAAACUGUCGAAGGUGCCAAAAAGACUGGCGAACAAGUUACGACUGCUGCUAAGGAUGCGAAGGAUAAAGUUAGCGAGAAAGUAGCAGAAGGAGCGCAGAAGGUAUCAGACGCUGGAAAGGCAGCUGAGGAAAAAAUACACGAUGGAGUGAAGAAAGUAGAGGAUAAAGCAAAAGCAACUGCACAUGAUGUAGCAGAGGGUGCCAAAAUGACCAAGGACAAAGUAGCAAAAGAGAUCAAAGAGGACGCUGAUGCCGUGAAGCAAAAGGUGUCAUCCGGUGUGGAUGCAGUAGCUGAUAGCGCUGCGACAGCAAAGGAUAAAGCAGCGAAAGAGGCGAAGAAAGCUAAAGAUAAGGCUGGCGGCUUCCUUUCUGGAUUAUUCAAGGGUGCAAAGCACUCAGUGGAUGAUGCUUCUGAAGACGUGAAAGAAUUUCUAGAUGAAGCCAGAAAGGAUGCGGCUGAGGAACAAGCUAGAUUGCGUGCAGCCGCUGCAGAGAAAGUGAAGGAUGCGGACUCAGCUAAGGAUAAAGCAGUUUCUGGUUUGAAAGAUGUGAAAGACAAAACAGUAUCUGCUGUAAAAGACGCCAAGGACACAGUCAGUGAGAAGGUUUCUACUGCUGCAGAGAAAGUAUCUGAUACUGGAAAAGCCGCCGCCGAAAAAGUAGUAGACGGUGUAAAACUAGUUGAAGGGAAGACCGAGAAAGCAGCUCACGACAUGGCAGAUGCUGCCAAAGCUGCCAAAGACAAAGCUGUAGAAGAUGCAAAAGAGGUCGGUGACAAAGUAGCAACAACUGCAAAAGAUACAAAAGAAAAAGUUGGUGAAAAGUUGGCUGCAGGAGCACAAAAGGUGUCAGAUACUGGAAAGGCGGUUGGAGACAAAAUCGUUGAUGGAGCAAAGAAAGUCGACGAGAAAGCUUCUACGGCAGUUCACGGUGCAGUAGACACCGCAAAAGCAACAAAAGACAAGGUUGCCAAAGAAGUUAAAGAAGACGCUGACAUUGUAAAGCAGAAAGUAUCCUCAGGUGUUGACACCGUAGUAGACGGAGCUGCGUCAGCCAAGGAUAAAGCAGCGAAAGAAGCCAAGAAAGCCAAGGAGAAGGCUGGAGGAUUCCUCUCAGGAUUGUUCAAAGGCGCAAAGCAGGCGUCCGAUGACGUAUCAGACGAAGUUAAAGAAUUCGUUGAUGACACAAAGAAAGCAGCAGCUGAAGAAGAAGCCAAAGCACGAGCGGCAGCUGCGGAGAAAUUGAAAGAAGCCGAAGCUGCAAAAGACAAAGUAGCUACUGAUGUAAAAGGUGCAAAGGAUAAAGUAGUAUCCGCCGUGAAAGAUGCUAAGGAUAAAACCAAUGAGAAAGUUGCUGCAGCUGCUCAGAAAGUAUCAGAUACUGGAAAAGCUGCAGCUGAAAAAGUAGCGGAUGGUGCAAAACAGGUUGAAGACAAAGCAGAAAAGGCAGCUCAUGAAGUAGCUGAUGCUGCUAAAGCUGCCAAAGACAAAACUGUCGAAGGUGUCAAAAAGACCGGCGAACAAGUUACAACUGCUGCAAAGGAUGCCAAAGAUAAAGUUAGCGAGAAAGUAGCAGAAGGAGCGCAGAAGGUAUCAGACGCUGGAAAGGCAGCUGAGGAAAAAGUACACGAUGGAGUGAAGAAAGUAGAGGAUAAAGCAAAGACGACUGCACAUGAUGUAGCAGAGGGCGCCAAAAUGACCAAGGACAAAGUGGCAAAAGAAAUUAAGGAGGACGCUGAUGCCGUGAAGCAAAAGGUUUCAUCCGGUGUGGAUGCAGUCGCUGAUGGCGCUGCGGCAACAAAAGAUAAAGCAGCGAAAGAGGCGAAGAAAGCUAAAGACAAAGCUGGAGGCUUUCUUUCGGGACUAUUCAAGGGUGCAAAACACGCAGCCGAUGAUGUUACAGGAGACGUAAAAGACUUCCUGGAUGAAGCCAGAAAGGAUGCGGCUGAAGAACAAGCUAGACUGCGUGCAGCUGCUGCAGAGAAAGCGAAAGAUGUGGACACAGCUAAAGAAAAAGCAGUUUCCGGCUUGAAGGAUGUGAAAGACAAAACAACAUCUGCCGUAAAGGACGCCAAGGACACAGUCAGUGAAAAGAUUUCUACCGCUGCAGAGAAAGUAUCUGAUACUGGAAAAGCUGCGGCCGAAAAAGUAGUAGACGGUGUAAAACUAGUUGAAGGGAAAACAGAGAAAGCAGCUCACGAAGUGGCAGACGCUGCUAAGGCCGCUAAAGACAAGGCUGUUGAAGAUGCAAAGGAAGUCGGUGACAAAGUCGCAACAACUGCAAAGGACACUAAAGAUAAAGUUACCGAAAAGGUUGCAGAAGGUGCGCAAAUAGUAUCAGACACUGGUAAAACCAUUGGUGGAAAGAUAGUCGAUGGUGCAAAGAAGGUUGAGGAUAAAACUGUAACAACCGCUCAUGAAAUAGCAGAUGGCGCCAAAGCUGCAAAAGACAAAGUUGCAACAGAGAUUAAAGAAGACGCUCACGCCGUGAAACAAAAAGUUUCAUCCGGUGUGGAUGCAGUAGCCGAUGGAGCUGCGGCAGCGAAGGAUAAAGCAGCAAAAGAAGCUAAAAAGGCAAAGGACAAAGCUGGAGGUUUUCUGUCAGGAUUGUUCAAGGGCGCAAAACACGCAGCUGAUGACGCUUCUGAAGAAGUUAAGGAAUUUGUCGAUGAUACAAAGAAGGCUGCAGCCGAAGAGGAAGCUCGUGCUCGCGCUGCUGUUGCGGAGAAACUGAAAGAUGUCGAUGCCGCAAAAGACAAAGCGGUUGCCGACGUGAAGGAUGCAAAAGACAAGGUUGCAUCUACUGUCAAGGACACUAAAGACAAAGUCAGUGAGAAGGUUAGUGUCGUGACCCAAAAGGUGACGGAUACUGGAAAAGCUGCAGCCGUAAAGGUAGCAGAAGGAGCACACAAAGUAGGCGAGAAAGUAGACCACACAGUCACAGAAGUAGCCGAUGGCGCAAAGGUAGCGAAAGAUAAAGCUGCACAAGAUGUGCAAGAUGUUAAAGAUAAAGUCAGCGAAAAAGUGUCCGAAGGUGCACAGAAAGUAUCCGAUGCUGGGAAAACGGUUGGAGGCAAAGUUCUCGACGGAGUGAAGACAGCUGAAGAGAAGGUCGAAGCAACGGCCCAUGGAAUUGCUGAUGCUGCAAAGUCUGCUAAAGAUAAAGCGGCAGACGAAAUUAAGCAAGACACUGAUGCUUUCAAACAGAAAGUUUCAUCCGGUGUAGACGCGGUCGUGGAUGGAGCGGCGUCAGCGAAAGACAAAGCUGCGAAGGAAGCUAAGAAUGCCAAAGAGAAAACUGGCGGUUUUCUUUCUGGCUUAUUCAAGGGUGCAAAGCAUGCCGCAGAAGAUGUGACAGGUGAUGUCAAAGAUUUUCUCGAUGAGACGAGAAAGGAGGCGGCUGAAGAGCAAGCUAGACUGCGUGCGGCAGCUGCGGACAAAGCGAAAGAUGUGGAGUCCGCCAAGGACAAAGCAGUUGCAGACGUGAAGGAUGCGAAACAGAAGGUUGCCUCUACCGUAAAGGACGCCAAGGACAAAGUCAGCGAUAAAAUCUCUGACGGUGCUCAGAAAGUGUCCGAAGCCGGCAAAGGUCUGUCCGAGAAAGUUAAAGACGGAGUGAAACAAGUUGGUCAGAAAGUUGACGCCACUGCUCAACAGGUAUCUGACAGUGCAAGUGCCGCUAAAGGUAAAGUAGUCGAAGAUCUGAAAGACGUGAAAGACAAAGUAUCUGUUACUGCAAAAGACACGAAAGACAAGGUAGCCGAUAAAGUAGCUGAAGGCGCGGAAAAAGUAUCAGAUUCCGCAAAAGCAGUCGGUGGAGCGAUUCAAGAUGGCGUCAAAAAGGGUAAGGACAAAACUGAAACCGUGCUCCACGAUGUAGCGACCGGCAUCAAAACCACGCAAGAGAAAGCAUCGAAAGAGAUUAAGGAAGAUGUUGGGGCGGUCAAAGAAAAGGUCUCAUCCGGCGUAGAUUCGGUUGUGGAUGGAGCAGCCUCUGCCAAAGAUAAAGCAGCAGCGGAGGCUAAAAAGGCGAAGGAAAAAGGAGGUGGAUUCCUGUCGGGAUUAUUCAAAAGCGCAAAACAUGCGGCAGACGAGUUCUCUGAGGAUGUGAAAGAAUUCGUGGAUGAAACAAAGAAGGAAGCAACAGAAGAGGAAGCUCGCGCUCGAACUGCUGUGUCAGAGAAGAUGAAGGACCUCGACAAAGCGAAGGACAAAGCGGCAGCUGACGUUAAGGACGCGAAGGAUAAAGUUGUUUCCAGUGCUAAGGAUACCAAGGAUAAAAUAAGCGAGAAAGUAUCUGAAGGUGCACAUAAAGUAUCAGAUGCAGGCAAAGCUGUCGCUGGAAAAGUCAGUGAUGGAGUUAAACAAGUCGGACAAAAAGCUGACGACACGGCAAAAGAGAUAGCUGACGGUGCAAAACUCGUGAAAGACAAGACAGUUGAGGGCGCGAAGGAUGUGAAAGAUAAAGUCGUCACUGGAGUAAAGGACACCAAAGAGAAGGUCAGCGAGAAAGUGGCGGAAGGUGCACAAAAAGUAUCAGACACUGGUAAACUCGUUGCUGACAAAGCACUCGAUGGAGUGAAGAAAGUGGAAGACAAGGCAGAAGCAACCGCCAAAGAAAUGGCUGACGGUGCAAAAUCGACGAAAGACAAGGUGGUCAAAGAAAUUAAAGAGGAUACCGAUGCAGUAAAGCAGAAAGUCAUCUCUGGAGUUGACUCAACAGCGGAAGGUGCAUCUGCAGUGGCGGAUAAAGCAGCGAAAGAAGCUAAGAAGGCCAAGGAAAAGGGUGGUGGUUUUCUCUCUGGAUUAUUUAAGGGAGCAAAACACGCUGCAGAUGACGUCUCAGACGGAGUUAAAGAAUUUCUAGAUGAAACUAGAAAGGAAGCGGCUGAAGAGGAAGCCCGAGCUCGUGCUGCGGCUGCAGAAAAAAUGAAAGAUGUCGAGAAAGCUAAAGAGAAAGCAGUCGACGGUGCAAAGGACGCAAAGGACAAAGUUGCAACCACUGUCAAGGAUGCCAAGGACAAAGUCAGUGAUGUGUUCUCUGCCACUGCGCAGAAGGUGUCAGAUACCGGUAAAGGUGUAGCUGAGAAGGUCGCAGACGGUGUCAAACACGUGGAAGACAAAACGAGUAAGGCGGCUCAUGACGUAACAGAUACCGCCAAAGCUGCAAAAGAUAAGGCAGUAGAAGAUGUAAAGGGUGCGAAGGACAAAGUUGCAUCUACUGUGAAAGACGCUAAAGAUAAAGCUAGCGAUAUGGUUUCCUCUACUGCGCAGAAAGUAUCAGAUACCGGCAAGGAUGUGGCGGAAAAGGUAACAGAUGGUGUGAAACAAAUUGAAGAUAAAACGAGUAAAGCGGCGCAAAAGGUGGCAGAUACUGGAAAAGCUGCGAAAGACAAAGUAGUUGAGGAUGUACAGAUGGUCGGUGAUAAAAUUGCGACCACUACAAAGGACGCUAAGGAUACAGUCAGCGAAAAGGUGAGCGAAGGAGCACAGAAAGUGUCAGAUACUGGAAAGGCGGUUGGAGAAAAAAUAGUCGAUGGAGCAAAGAAGGUGGAUGAAAAAGCUUCGGCGACAGUUCACGGUGUGGUAGAUACCGCAAAAGCAACAAAAGACAAGGUUGCGAAGGAAGUUAAAGAAGACGCUGACAUUGUAAAGCAAAAAGUAUCGUCUGGUGUAGACACAGUAGUAGACGGAGCUGCGUCAGCCAAGGACAAAGCAGCGAAAGAAGCCAAGAAAGCUAAGGAGAAGGCCGGAGGUUUUCUCUCUGGCUUGUUCAAAGGCGCGAAGCACGCGGCAGAUGAUGUAUCAGACGAAGUUAAGGAAUUCCUCGAUGAAACAAAAAAAGAAGCUGCUGAAGAAGAAGCCAGAGCACGAGCUGCUGCAGCACAGAAGCUGAAGGAUGCUGAAACAGCCAAAGACAAAGCAGUUGCUGAUGUAAAAGACGCAAAGGACAAAGCAGCAUCCGCUGUGAAGGAUGCUAAGGAUAAAGCCAGCGAAAAAGUUUCUACCGCUGCCCAGAAGGUAUCAGAUACCGGAAAGGCUGCGGCUGAAAAAGUAGCGGAUGAAGUGAAACAUGUUGGUGAUGCUGCGGAUAAAAAAGCACACGAAAUAGCAGAUGCUGCUAAGGCUGCCAAAGACAAAACUGUCGAAGGUGCCAAAAAGACUGGCGAACAAGUUACGACUGCUGCUAAGGAUGCGAAGGAUAAAGUUAGCGAGAAAGUAGCAGAAGGAGCGCAGAAGGCAUCUGACGCUGGAAAGGCAGCCGCAGAAAAGAUACACGACGGAGUGAAGAAAGUAGAGGAUAAAGCAAAGACGACUGCACAUGAUGUAGCAGAGGGCGCAAAAAUGACCAAGGACAAAGUAGCAAAAGAGAUCAAGGAAGACGCUGAUGCCGUGAAGCAAAAGGUGUCAUCCGGUGUGGACGCAGUAGCUGAUAGCGCUGCGGCAGCAAAGGAUAAAGCAGCGAAAGAAGCGAAGAAAGCUAAAGACAAGGCUGGCGGCUUUCUUUCUGGAUUAUUCAAGGGUGCAAAGCACUCAGUGGAUGAUGCUUCUGAAGAUGUGAAAGAAUUUCUAGAUGAAGCCAGAAAGGAUGCGGCUGAGGAACAAGCUAGACUGCGUGCAGCUGCUGCAGAGAAAGCGAAAGAUGCGGACUCAGCUAAAGACAAAGCAGUUUCCGGUUUAAAAGAUGUGAAAGACAAAACAGUAUCUGCUGUAAAGGACGCCAAGGACACAGUCAGUGAAAAGGUUUCUACCGCUGCAGAGAAAGUAUCUGAUACUGGGAAAGCCGCCGCCGAAAAAGUAGUAGACGGUGUAAAACUAGUUGAAGGGAAGACCGAGAAAGCUGCUCGCGACAUGGCAGAUGCUGCUAAGGCCGCUAAAGACAAGGCUGUUGAAGAUGCAAAGGAAGUCGGUGACAAAGUCGCAACAACUGCAAAGGACACUAAAGACAAAGUUACCGAAAAGGUUGCAGAAGGUGCGCAAAAAGUAUCAGACACUGGUAAAGCCGUUGGAGAUAAAAUAGUUGAUGGUGCAAAGAAAAUUGAGGAUAAAACCGUAACGACCGUCCAUGAAGUAACUGAUGGCGCCAAAGCUGCGAAGGAUAAGGUUGCAAAAGAAAUCAAAGAAGAUGCGGACGCUGUAAAGCAAAAGGUUUCAUCUGGCGUGGAUACAGUUGUGGACACUGCAGCAGCUGCAAAGGACAAAGCUGCAAAAGAAGCUAAAAAAGCCAAGGACAAGACCGGAGGCUUCUUAUCAGGGUUAUUCAAAGGUGCAAAACACGCAGCCGACGAAGUUUCCGGCGAGUUCAGUGAAUUUCUGGACGAGACGAAGAAGGAAGCAGCCGAAGAAGAAGCUCGCGCCCGUGAAGCGGCGGCAGAAAAGAUAAAGGACCUUGAAACAGCGAAAAGUAAAGUAGCAGCUGAUGUGAAGGACGCAAAAGACAAAGUCGCAACCACAGCUAAAGACGCCAAGGAGAAGGUCGGCGAAAAAUUAUCCGACACCACCCAGAAAAUCUCUGACGCUAGCAAAAGUGCAGCUGAGACCGUUGCGACUGGAAUGAAGCAAGUUGCCGAAAAAGCGGACGAUAAAGCUCGUGAAAUAGCAGACGCUGCAAAGUCCACGAAGGACAAGGUAGUCGAAGACACGAAGGAAGCCAAGGACAAAGUCACAACCGCCGUAAAGGACGCGAAGGACAAGGUCAGCGACAAGGUGGUCGAAGGAGUACAAAAGGUGUCAGACGCAGGCAAAUCAGUCGGUGACAAAGUACUCGAAGGAGCUGAAAAGGCAGAACUCAAGGUCGAAACAACUGCUCACAAGAUCGCCGGCGAUACUAAAGCAGCGAAGGAUAAAGUGGUCACAGAAAUUAAGGGAGACGCCGAAGCUGUAAAACAGAAAGUCUCUUCGGGAGUAGACACCGUGGUGGACGGUGCAGCGGCGGCGAAAGACAAAGCUGCGAAGGAAGCUAAAAAAGCGAAAGAGAAAGGUAGUGGCUUUCUUUCUGGGUUGUUCAAAGGUGCAAAGCAUGCAGCAGACGAAGUUUCUGAAGACAUGAAGGAAUUCGUCGACGAAGCGAAGAAGGACGCCGCUGAAGAAGAAGCAAGGUUGCGUGCAGCAGCUGCCGAUAAGGUGAAAGAUGUCGAAACAGCUAAAGACAAAGCUGUUGCAGACAUUAAAACCUCUAAGGACAAACUUGCGGCUGGUGUGAAAGACACCAGCGAUAAGGUCACUGGAAAGGUUGCUGACACCGUACAGAAAACAUCUGAUGCUGGUAAAGCUUUUGGAGACAAAGUCGUGGAUGGACUAACGGAAAUUGAGUUGAAAACAGAAACAACUGUUCAAGAUGUAAAGAGCGGUAUGAAGGACGCAAAAGACAAGGCAGUGGCUGACACAAAAGCUGCUGCAAAGGAUACCAAAGACAAGCUCACCGAUAAGGUAGCCAAAGGUGCCCAAAAGGUUUCGGACGCUGGUAAAACCAUAGGCGGCAAAGUUGUCGAUGGCGCGAAAAGUGUAGAGGAAAAAGCAGAAGCAGCUGCGAAGGAGAUCAAGAAGGACAUUUCAUCCGGAGUAGAUACCGUCGCGGAUACCGCUAAAACAACUAAGGACAAGGCUGCGAAGGAAGCAAAGAAAGCCAAGGAGAAGGGCGGUGGUUUCCUCUCUGGUUUAAUCAAAAGCGUGAAACAUGCAGCUGAGGAUGUCUCAGACGACGUCAACGAGUUUCUUGAUGAAACGAAGAAGGAAGCCGCCGAAGAGGAGGCCCGAGCUCGCGAGAAGGCGGCAGAAAAGUUAAAAGACGUUGAGAAGCUCUCGGAAAAAGCCUCUGCAGAUGCGAAGGCGGCUAAAGACAAAGCGGUAGCUGGUGUAAAGGAUGCAAAAGAAGCAGUUAGCAAAAAGGUGUCGGGUGCUAGCCAAGCUGUUGGCGCUACUGUUCAAGAAAUAAGCGACACUGCAAGAACGACGAAACACAAGGUGGUUUCGUCCGCGAAAGACAGUAGCGACCGAAUCAGCGAGAAGGUAGCUGCCGGAGGUCAAAAAGUGUCUGACGCCGGAAAGUCUAUUGUCGUAGAGGGUAGCAAUAUCAAAAGUGGCGUAAUGGACUUUCUGGAAGAACUGAAACGAGACGCUGCGUUGGACAAAUCAGGUUUCCAAGAGAAACCUGACGACGUUCACAGUUUGUACGAGAACGUGGACAGAUUCGGCAGAGUCAGAGAAUUAACGCCUGACCCGAAGGGAGAAGGUUCAAAAAGCGAAAGAUCUGACUUUGACACGGUGUUCGAUCCACUUGCUGGUGUUAGCUUCGAAGCACAGAGUAGAUUAACCGACACGAGCAGAAAGGACGGUGUCGAAAUAAAAUCGAAGAAGAUAUCUCGCAUUCCACAGAAAGUUAGUUCCUCUAAAGACGCAGGAAUUAGCCCUAGUAGCUCAUUGGAUAGUACAGUUAGGGUAGUUAAUGUAUUUAGCGAAGUAGAGCACCUCGAGCCUCACACACGACAGACCGUCACCACAGUCGUAACAAAGUCUGUGCGGACGGCAGCGACCCCACCACCCAGUCCCGCCGAGUUCAUUGACAGUAGAAUCGAAGAUGUCACUGAAGAGGCAGCAAGACGAGCGCAGGCAUUAGCCGAUCAAGCGUAUUCGAUGUCGAAAACAGGGCAUGAUUCGGCUGAGAUUGAUGGGACUGUAGAGAGGCAUGCUACUUCUGCUCCAACAAAGCAACCUGUUCCCGCCCCGCGACACUCCACCAGGUCGUCCAUCAAAACAGACUUUCAUCUAGACUUGGGUGACACCUCGUGCGCGCCGUACAGUCCCAAGCAUAAGACGAAAGAAUCAAAGCUGCAGGAAGAACACUCGCCCGAAAAGAGCAGUCCUAAAAGUAAGAUACCGAUCAAGGUAAAAAAAUCCAUGGAUAACGAAAAGAUGGCUUGCAAAACCGGAACCGAUAAGGUAAAGUCAGACGUCGAAGAUACGAAGCAGCUCGAGAAAUCGGAGCCAAAGGGUGACUCCGUAAAGACCGAGCUGUCGAGCGAAACGUGCACCACGAUGACGACCAAAACGACCGCGUCCGCGCUCGAUUCCGAAACGCUCGAGAAAUUAGCUGGAACCGUAGAAAAGAUAGAGUCCGUGACGAUCGCGAAAGGAGACGCUAGACCGGGGGAACUUGUGAGGGAAACUAAGAUUGUAGAGAGUUGGAUGGGUCCCGAGGAAGCGGGGACGAUAACAAAGACCGUGAGAAACGUUACGGAUCAGGUGGUGAAAGAGACCGUGGUGAAAACGAUCACGACCACGAUGUGCACCACCAUGGAGUCCGUUGGCACUGACCAGACGGAACGGAUCGUACGGACGGUGACCACCAGCGGGGACUACGGCGACAUACCCGGUCUGAAACGAUUGCAGGGCGAUAUCCUGCCACUAAGUAUCGAACAGGGUUCGACAAAGAUGAUGAAAAGCAUUAGCGAGAUGUCGGAGCCGUGGGCGCACGGCAGCUUGAUAGAGCACUCGUACCUGAACGAUGAGAAGGUAGAGCAAUGGGAGAGCCAGCUCUCCCAAGACACGUCGCCCGGUUCCGGUAACGGUGACAUUUACGCAAAGAACGGUAGCUCACGCCACGAUUUAAACAGCGACACUGACAGUGACGGUUCGCCACGACCGAGAAGAAGAUCUCCGAGCAAGAGGCGUACAUUGGGCAGUUCCAGCGGGUCUGAUGUAGCACUGCACGAAGGUGCGGAGCUGUCCCCGUUGGAGGACGACCAAGUGACAGAAACAGACAGUUCGGUACAGUCAGUUUGUUCGAGCAUGCGACCAAGUACAGUAGAGGGAACAUCUAGGAGGAAGACUUCCGGUAGAACAAGCUGCGCGUGUUGGAUGAGCGUAGCUGCCGCUACGUUGGUGGUCCUACUAGCAAUAUUUCUUGCCUUGGAGCCACGAACGUUCCAACGUGACAUCUACACCCUCUCUAACAAUGUCCCGAGGCAAACUGGAAUCUGACUUUUUGCAACAUAGCGAGCCAUCCUACAUGGAAACGACAACGACGGAAGUGGACCCUGAAACUCAGGAAAGAAUAACCAGAACUGUACAAGUAGUUACAACGACCAGUGGUACAGACGAAUUGCGAGAAUCCAUGCAGAAGAUCGUCGAUCAAUUCAUGAUGGAGGAAAGGCGAGAUCAGUGAAGCAUCAUAGGUCUUAUGGGGCGAUAACAUCAAGAAAAGGAUCCUUUUGUCGGCCGAUGAUCGUGCAUCGAUAUUAAAAUAGCGUUGAAAGAAAUUCUCUGUUACGCUAAUCGAAACGUAUGUCUAAUCUGACGCAUCCUCGAGCGUCAGAGGAGACAUUUGAAAAAAAAAUGAAGCUCGAAGAAAAGAUAUCUCGAUAUAGAUCUAUGUCUUUAAUCUAAGAGUAAACGCAAGGUAAUCUUUUUUUCUUCGACGCUUUCGAGAUCAUAGGAAAAAAAAAGUAUGCACGACGAUUAACUUGUCACACUCAUGGCCUACGCUUCGAAUUUGCUUGCCUUUCGGUUGCAUUAAGUUGCCUUACAAAUAUUUACGUUUAAUCUUGCGAUUAAAUGAACAUAUGUCGUCGCUAGUCCGACUAGCCGAUCCGCUAGUCUUCACUACGCCAACCCGUCCAUGUACAACGCCUUUCUCGUGUUGUUCAAAGCGAAAAUGAAAAGGGAGAAGGAGAGAAGAAAGUUAACGAAGCAACAAGCGCUUACAUGAACAAUGGUGGACGAAAAAGAGAAAAGAAAUAGAUGAUGCAGUUUCGACCAACAUUACGGCGAUAUAUACAUAUAAUAUAUAUUUGUAAAACAAUAAACGCGAGACAAAAUCGAAAUGAAAACAGAUUUUAUGGUGACUUCGCGAGACUCGCCACUCGUCAGUUCGUUUUUUAGCUUUAGAGGAUGAUUGUAAUAUCUAUCCGCGUAAUGCAUCGCUUGAUAUGGGUCAGCUACACUUCAACCACCUUUUCGACGAUGAACUGCACACGUACACAUACAUGCAUAUAUACACAGAUUCUAAAAAGAAAGAAAGAACAAAAAAAAGAUAGAGUUCUCGUUGCUGUUCGAGCGUAACGAUGAAACGAAGAAGAAACGAGAGAUAAAUGUUUACUCCGAUUCGGAUAGCAACGAGAAAUCGAUGUUUUUAUGGAUCGCAAUACAAUGUAAAUUUAACUUAUUUAAAAAGAAUAUUUCCUAACAAUUUUUAAUUGUAUAUAUGAUAAUUUCUUAGCGUAACUUAUAUAAAUGUACUAUUAUACGAUUGUAAUAAUUGCAAGAUUAUAACCGUGAAUAUUUUAUUUAUAUAGCGAAAUAAUUGGACAAAUGUUACACGCAUAAAUCUUAUGAUCGAAGAGAGAGAAAAUGUUGAACAAAAUUAUUAUAGUUAUUCUAAAAUAAAAACGAAAAAAAGAAAAGGCAUGACCGCUAUAGAAAAAAUGUGUUGUUUAAACUUCUACGAAUCGAAACACGUCUUGAUAAUUAUUUUAAACAGCGUUAGCUUUCAAUGUAUAACACAGUUUUCAAAGGCACAGAAAGGAAUCGUAUAGUAUGUAUUUAAAAAGAACAAAAAUAUAUAUAUACAUAUACAUAUAUAAAUAUACAUACUUUUAAAUAAGGUACUCUAUUAAUGUAUAAUAUAUUGAAAAAGAUAUAAUUAUGCAUCUGAAGUUUAUAAAUUAUUAUCUAUAAUGACUGUUAUUCUAUGUUUAAUAGACUUGCCUAGAGCCUAUCUGACCUAAGGACCAAAGGCACAAUCACACACGCAUCAAAAUAAACUAUUAUGCUCCCAUG